RNAcentral lists this ribosomal RNA (250 nucleotides) under uncultured prokaryote. RNAcentral's name for it is "partial 16S ribosomal RNA". It matches the Rfam family "Bacterial small subunit ribosomal RNA", at positions 524 to 773 of the family's 1533-position model. The record is from RNAcentral.
UACGGAGGAUGCGAGCGUUAUCCGGAUUCAUUGGGUUUAAAGGGUGCGCAGGCGGCGCGUUAAGUCAGCGGUGAAAUCUCAUGGCUCAACCAUGGAACUGCCAUUGAUACUGGCGUACUAGAGUGCGAACGGCGCCGGCGGAAUGUGCAAUGUAGCGGUGAAAUGCAUAGAUAUUGCACAGAACACCGAUCGCGAAGGCAGCUGGCGAGGACGUUACUGACGCUGAGGCACGAAAGCGUGGGGAUCAAAC